RNAcentral lists this ribosomal RNA (467 nucleotides) under uncultured bacterium. RNAcentral's name for it is "partial 16S ribosomal RNA". It matches the Rfam family "Bacterial small subunit ribosomal RNA", at positions 28 to 507 of the family's 1533-position model. The record is from RNAcentral.
GACGAACGCUGGCGGCGUGCUUAACACAUGCAAGUCGAACGGAAAGGCCCUGCUUUUGUGGGGUGCUCGAGUGGCGAACGGGUGAGUAACACGUGAGUAACCUGCCCUUGACUUUGGGAUAACUUCAGGAAACUGGGGCUAAUACCGGAUAGGAGCUCCUGCUGCAUGGUGGGGGUUGGAAAGUUUCGGCGGUUGGGGAUGGACUCGCGGCUUAUCAGCUUGUUGGUGGGGUAGUGGCUUACCAAGGCUUUGACGGGUAGCCGGCCUGAGAGGGUGACCGGCCACAUUGGGACUGGGAUACGGCCCGGCCUCUUAGGGGAGGAAGCGGGGGGGAAUGUUCCCAAAGGGGCGAAGCCUGAUGCAGCAACGCCGCGUGCGGGAUGACGGCCUUCGGGUUGUAAACCGCUUUCGCCUGUGACGAAGCGUGAGUGACGGUAAUGGGUAAAGAAGCACCGGCUAACUACGUG